UUUGGUCAAAAGGUAAGAGGGAUCCUCUCAACUGUAGGUUCAUAUUGAAAUAAAUAAUUUUUUUUUUAUGGACACUGCCGGAAAUUUCGAUUCUUCUGAUUUAAGCUACCUCUAUCAAAAAAAUAGAGAAUUUUGUUGAAUCUAGAGGUGAUGAGGGGUGUCAAUAAGGAAAUUAACGUUACAAGGGCCUAUUUCAAAAUGUCCAAUAGUUGCAAGGGCUUUAUACCUCUUUACAGUAACAACUUUUACAUGUUUCUAGGAAGUACACGUACCUAUUGUGCAUCAUAAGCAAUUCAAGCUCGGAGACGUUGUGAACCACAAACUUCCUGAAGCGGUUCGGUAGGUAAUGGCGGGUCUUCUUAUCAGACCCGUAGCCAAUGUUGGGCAUCAAGGUGCAUCCCUUGAACUUCCUCCUCACACGAGAAUCAAUACCCUUUGGCCUUCGCCAGUUUGGCUAUUUAUCACAUAAAACCAACCACAGCAAAUUGAAUAGAAGCCUUCUUAAAAACAAGCUGCUUACAAAUUAAAGCUGGAGACAACACAUAAUGAUAAUACAAAAAAUUUAAAAAAAGGCCAUAUCAGCAAUGUUCAAUGGCGCAUAGUUAAACAACUUUUAAAAGAUGUAAUGUGGGCGCCUGUUUUUCCGAAUCCUCAAUAAAGAGACUCAUAUCCUUAAUAAAUAGACUCACUAAGCAUGUAUUGCAGCUGGUUAAUAAAGGAAUCAUUUCCAUCCAAAAAAUAAACCACCACAAUUUGCAAAAGAUAGAUAGGCCAUAAUUUAACAGUGCAUGUCUGAGUUACAAUUCCGUAGAAAAGAAAGGGGUUUGAGAGGACAUGGAGAGAACAUAAGUUACAUAAAUACAUGGUAUAGUUUCCAUCCAAAUAUGCAAGUCCAAUUAUAACUAACAAAUGGAAUUACUUCAAUACUUGAGAGUAUUCCUUGCUACGAUUGGGUCAUAGUUAGUAGAUCCUAUACCGUCAUUGAAAGAAUAAUUUACAAUAACAAACAGCAGCAAAGUCAAAAACUGCAUAUACAAAUACAAAUGCCAUAUAAUCAAAUACUAUAGAAAGAAAAACUUUGCAAUGACAUGAGAAAUCAUUUCUAAUAACCACAUAUAAUAAUGAGAAGUACAAGUUACAUAUAAAACAUAAUCAAAUCACACGAAAUUAAACUCUCUAGCCCUAUUCAGAUACCACAACUCACAAAAAUCAAUUUGUAGCCUCUACAAAAAGAUAGAUAUGAAUGUUUAUAAAAGGCACAACCCCACUUCUCCGCAUUUGAUAUCAGUUGAUCUCUAACAUUAUACAAAUUCUGAAAAAACUAAUGAUACAAAUAAAAGUAACAUAACCAAGUUAAGAUUGUAAAAUUAUAGCAAAUGAAACUACGAUAACACGCAAGCAAGCUAAAACAAAGUAUUCUUCCCCGGCUCCGACAACCAACUUUUUGGCAAAGCUGAUAUCACCAAGCCUAAUCAUCUCAGAGACACCAGUACAUCACAACAAUCGGAGGACUCCCACCUCCAUAUUCGAUUUUGGAAGAUGAAAAUAAGUAAACAUACAACAAAUUUCUUUGUAUUUACGCAAUAAUUCAUGCUCAGCAUAGAGCAACAACACCUAUAGUCUAAUCAACAUCACACAACCAGAGCAGUACUAUAAUGCAUGAUUCGUGUAUUAGUAAAAUCACAUCAAAAUAUUGCAAGGAGAAAACAAAACAAAAGAACAACAAAUAUGAAAAAGUUUUAGUAUUAAUGAUGGAACAAAAAGAUAUACCUUGACACAGAUCUUGCGAUCGCUCUGCGGCCUCUUGAACUUCUUAACCCGCUUCUUCACGAUCUUCUUCGAGAGCAAAGGGACCGCCAUUUCUUCUAAGAAAAAACAGAAACAAAUCAAAUCAAACACACUCCAAUACGAAAAUCCAAACCCUAAAAAGGUAUCGAGGGGAGCAUUCGCACUAACCCUAACCCUAGGAGACGAGGAGAGUGGAAGCGAGACGAGGAUGCGGCGGCGACAGCUCGAACGCUCUUUAGGCCCAAACCCUAAUUAUAAAGGGGCGAGGGGAGAGAGGGUAACGAUGUCGCGGACGUGACUUGAUGGACGGUCGUGAUCUCGUCGAGCGUACGGAUGGAUGAGAACUAAACCUAGGGCAAUUGAUCAGAUCAGAUUGGGUCGGGUUGGUUCAGUGUUCAGUUUAGGUCAAGCUCCAAUGUGAAGGCUAUGUGUACAGGCUCGAACUUAUCCAACUUGUGAUUAAAUUAAUUUUGAGUUAAAUGUAGGGAUAGUCACUCUGCGUUAAUUCCUAAAAAUCUGCAAAUACAUUACACUUUGUCCCUAAUUAUUAAAGAAAUUCUAGGUGUUGGGCCUAAACAAGAGCCUAUUGCAUCGGCUUUGAAUUCCCAUAUAGAACUCGAGUUUGGGCUCAAAAUAGAUUUGAGCCUAUCCUGGGCUAUACCCAAAUUCGGCUCGAGUCUGUUGUGAAAUGUAAACUUAUGUUUCUCACGUACGGAAGUGUACGUCUAUUACUGUCUAAUAUAGUUGGUUAGUAUUUUGAAUUAACUAUCAAAAGAUCAGACAUUUGAAAUCCCAAGUGCCACGCGCAUAGACCUAGCAAACGAGCUGACCGGAUAACUUGUGAAAGAGUCAUUGUAUCCGCAGAUUAUAUGGAUGUGUAAAAUUUAUUCUUAAAUUUUCAAAUAGUCCAUCUUAUCCCAUACUCGCCCACGAGUGAAUAUGUGGGUUAUUCAUAAAUUUUUUUCCUUUUUACUUCUAUACUGUUUAAAUGCAAUAUAUAUAAUUUUUAAAAAUAUAAUAUAAACUUAUUAUUUGAAAUAUCAUAAUAUAAAAUAAAUAAUAUAAAAUCUUAAAAAACAUAAAUUUUAUAAUAUAAAAUUAUUUUAUCUUCUCAAAAUUUUUAUAAUACAAAAUUAAUAAAAUUAUUAUGAUUAUAAAGUCAAUACCGUAAAGAUUAUAUAUUUUUUAUUUUAAUUGAUGUGCGGAUAUCCAUAGAUACGUGAGUUGCCAAAAUGCUCACAACUUAACUAAUACCCAUUCUUUAUUUAUAAAAGGAAAGUGUUUUUUAUUAUUAUUUUUUUUUACUUUUUUAGUGAAAAAUUGAAAGGGAAAUUGUUUUGAACGUUGUAGGGGCGUGCUAACACGUUGUAGAAGAAAUAAUUCUGUCAUCAAAUUGUUCUGCUUUAGUUUGUCAGAGAAGGUCCGCUUACUUGCUAGCUUUGUAGCAAGGCAGUUGACAUUUCAAGGAAAAUCCAUUCUGAAAAGUAUAGAUCUUACACCUAUUUUAGAGUUUAAAAAAGUCUAAAUAAUUUUUAGUAAAAAUAAAAAAAAAAUUUAAUGUGACAAAUAAAAAUUGAAUGAUUUUGCAUGAAAUGAGUCUAAAAUGUACAUCAUAUUCUGAAUGACCAGCGGUACUGCAAGGGUAGUUUUUCAACUGCAUUUUGGGCACUUCCAGAAUUAGUUCCAGAGUGGUAAACUUUUGGUUUAAAGGUUAUCAUCACUAACCGUGAUACCAAGCUGAGAACGUUUUAAGCAGGUUUUGAUUAACACAACAAUAGAUCUCAAGCUAUACUUGAUCAACCGGAUAUGCCAGUUUCUAUACUUUUGGUUGAUGCGGUAGAAUAUAAAGAUAUUAUAAGUAAUACCCCUGACUCGGCAACACGACACUGCUCAAAAAGAGAAUUGAACUUGUUCGGGGAUCUAAUAACUGAUCAAAAUCCAUCUUUUAGCACAUAGAGAACAAAAUAUUUGCAUCAACAAACCUCUAUCCUUGGUAUAAAAAGAAAAAAAUCAGCUUCACCAUUAACUUUGCAGUCCUAAGCCCGAAACAUAACUAAUACUAGAUAAACCAAAAAGGAACAAGAAGACCAAAUUAUAAGCUCAUCAACGUUCAACUCAUAAUGAUUCAGUAAAAAAGCACAAGCACAACGCAAAAUGUUGACCACAAUUAAAAUUUUAAUCCUACAGCAAAAGCAAAGUAAAGUAACUUCGACAAAUAAAGAGCCUCAGUUUCGCAAACCAAAACAAACAAUUGAAACCGUCCCUCACUCAUCUUCUUGGCUGCGGAGCCUCGCAAGCUUGUUCGUAACAACAAUGUCGAGCUGGGCGGCACGCUCUACAAUCUCCUUACGCUUCCUCGUAGAGACGUUGUGUGCAAUUUCGGCGCAGUAUGUCCUGUUCAUUGUAAGCAAUUAGUAUUUACAAAAAAAUGAAUAAUGUGUGGUCAAAAGGUAAGAGGGAUCCCCUCAACUGUAGGUUCAUAUUGAAAUAAAUAAAUUAUUUUUACCUACAUCGCCGGAAAUUUCGAUUCUUCUGAUUUAAGCUAUCUCUAUCAACAAAAUAGAGAAUUUUGAUGAAUCUAGCGGUGAUGAGGGGUGUCAAUGAGGAAAGUAAAGUUACAAGGGCCUAUUUCAAAAUGUCCAGUAGCGGCAAGGGCUUUAUACAUCUUUACAGUAACAACUUUUACAUGUUUCUAGGAAGUACGCGUACCUAUUGUGCAUCAUAAGCAAUUCAAGCUCGGAGACGUUGUGAACCACAAACUUCCGGAAGCGGUUAGGUAGGUAAUGGCGGGUCUUCUUAUCGGAGCCGUAGCCAAUGUUGGGCAUCAAGGUGCAUCCCUUGAACUUCCUCCUCACACGAGAAUCAAUACCCUUUGGCCUUCGCCAGUUUGGCUAUAUAUCACAUAAAACCAACCACACCAAAUGAAUAGAAGCAAUCUUAUAAACAAGCCACUUACAAAUUAAAGCUGGA
Molecule: long non-coding RNA, 4758 nt
Filed under: Ananas comosus (pineapple)
Lineage: Eukaryota; Viridiplantae; Streptophyta; Magnoliopsida; Poales; Bromeliaceae
Description: long non-coding RNA (ACOM_LNC008302)
Source: RNAcentral